AACGCUAGCUACAGGCUUAACACAUGCAAGUCGAGGGGAAACGAUAUUGGAAGCUUGCUUCCGAUAGGCGUCGACCGGCGCACGGGUGAGUAACGCGUAUCCAACCUGCCCACCACUUGGGGAUAACCUUGCGAAAGUAAGACUAAUACCCAAUGACGUCUCUAGAAGACAUCUGAAAGAGAUAAAAGAUUUAUCGGUGAUGGAUGGGGAUGCGUCUGAUUAGCUUGUUGGCGGGGUAACGGCCCACCAAGGCGACGAUCAGUAGGGGUUCUGAGAGGAAGGUCCCCCACAUUGGAACUGAGACACGGUCCAAACUCCUACGGGAGGCAGCAGUGAGGAAUAUUGGUCAAUGGACGAGAGUCUGAACCAGCCAAGUAGCGUGCAGGAAGACGGCCCUAUGGGUUGUAAACUGCUUUUAUAAGGGAAUAAAGUGAGUCUCGUGAGACUUUUUGCAUGUACCUUAUGAAUAAGGACCGGCUAAUUCCGUGCCAGCAGCCGCGGUAAUACGGAAGGUCCGGGCGUUAUCCGGAUUUAUUGGGUUUAAAGGGAGCGUAGGCCGGAGAUUAAGCGUGUUGUGAAAUGUAGAUGCUCAACAUCUGAAUUGCAGCGCGAACUGGCAGACUUGAGUGUGCGCAACGUAGGCGGAAUUCGUGGUGUAGCGGUGAAAUGCUUAGAUAUCACGAAGAACUCCGAUUG
This 696-nucleotide ribosomal RNA is filed under the name uncultured bacterium. RNAcentral describes it as "bacterial SSU rRNA". It matches the Rfam family "Bacterial small subunit ribosomal RNA", at positions 32 to 715 of the family's 1533-position model. The record is from RNAcentral.